RNAcentral lists this ribosomal RNA (253 nucleotides) under uncultured bacterium. Its description in RNAcentral is "partial 16S ribosomal RNA". It matches the Rfam family "Bacterial small subunit ribosomal RNA", at positions 524 to 776 of the family's 1533-position model. The record is from RNAcentral.
UACGAAGGGGGCUAGCGUUGCUCGGAAUCACUGGGCGUAAAGGGUGCGUAGGCGGGUCUUUAAGUCAGGGGUGAAAUCCUGGAGCUCAACUCCAGAACUGCCUUUGAUACUGAAGAUCUUGAGUUUGGGAGAGGUGAGUGGAACUGCGAGUGUAGAGGUGAAAUUCGUAGAUAUUCGCAAGAACACCAGUGGCGAAGGCGGCUAACUGGUCCGGUUCUGACGCUGAGGCGCGAAAGCGUGGGGAGCAAACAGG